AGAGUGUUAGCAAGUGGCAUCUAUUGCUCUCAUUGCCACUUCAUCUUGGAUUUGUAUCAUGAGCUUGAUAAACCUCACACCUGCUGAUUUGAGGGAGAAGGGAAUGAAGAAGGUUUGACUCCCAUCAGUGGCUUUGAGCAUUAAUGAGUUUUUCCCUCCUUAGGAGCUGAUGUGCUUUGGGUAUUUCUUCUUGUAAAUUCUGACUUGACUAGAGUUUGGUUUUGUGGCUUUGUUUCCUUUUGUGUAUUAGAAAUGCCUCAGUUCCCAGCUCAGUGAUGUAACUUGCUCUCCACUAGAAGAAUCAAAUAUUAUCAUUGACUCUGCUUUACCAUUAGACAGAAAAGAAUGUAGCUCAAAAAUUCACUCAUCUCCAUAAAUACAUUCCUUUUCAAAAAUAUUUUGCAGAUGAAUUUUCGCAGUCACAUGUAACUCAAUUUUUUCCUACAGAGGAAGAGAUUAUAAUUUAGUUAUGUCUUGUCUUCCUGAAGCUGCUGUGUUUGUUUUUCCUUUGACAUUUGAAAUGAGGGCACAUAUUUCUAAAUGUGCUCCACCUGCUCAUGAAGGAAACCUCUACAAUGUCAGCGAUUUUGAACUAGAAAUGGGCCACAUAGAAAUGUGGCAGAUUCCCAGAAUUACCUGACUACAUUCUCUUGAUGCACAUGAGCUUGAAAGCAAAAACUGUCAGGCCCAGAGCCACUAACUCAAAGCUUGGUUGUCUGUGUUUGAGAUUUCCCUGUGCAUGGUGUCAAAUUAUAUGUGUGUUUUAUGGAAUUGAAACACACUCAAAUGUUCUCUUAGAGUUCACUCAGAGAAAAAUGGUCUCAUUUUUUCCUUUAGAAAAUACGGAGCAAUUGUCUCCUUGGAGCAACGCCAGCACUACAAGGAUGCCUUCAAUGCAGAUUAUGAGGAAUAUUGGAAUUUAUAUUUUAAGAUUGACAAGAUCAUCAAGAAAUUCAGACAUUUUCAGGAACAAUGGAAGUCUCUGACUCCAGGCUCCAAAGCCUAUCAGAUGCUGCAUUAUCGAAUCCUAGCAGAUUAUCAGCAGUUACAACAGAGUAGCCCCAGCUAUUAUGAAAUGAAGAGUGGGUGCCAGUACCUCCACAAGAAGCUGGCCCAUAUUCAGAGCUGCAUUUCUGAAUUUGAGCAGCAGUGAGUGGAGUACUGGCACCAGACAUCGGCUUCAGCAUGGAACAUCUCUGAAAUCAGGAUUUUUCAUUUCAACUAGAAGAUUAGAUUUUUUAGGAUUCUUUAAAUUAGUACAGAACAAUAGGUUAUCUUAGCACUGAGCAGUAGGUGAUUUCUUAUAAAUGUAGGAUUAGUUCAAAGAAGUUUAGUUAAGUUUAAGUCAAAGUUGAAAGAUGAUAAUAUUGAAAUUUAACAAUAAAGAAAUCUCAC
Passer domesticus (house sparrow) is the source of this 1395-nucleotide long non-coding RNA. RefSeq lists it as uncharacterized. NCBI's taxonomy places the organism in Eukaryota, Metazoa, Chordata, Aves, Passeriformes, Passeridae. The transcript is spliced from 3 exons. The record is from RefSeq and is a predicted model, not a curated record.